GAUGAACGCUGGCGGCGUGCUUAACACAUGCAAGUCGAGCGAGAAACUACAUGCAGACACUUCGGUAGAAGCGAGUAGCGGAAAGCGGCGGACGGGUGAGUAACGCGUAGGCAACCUGCCCUUCACAGAGGUAUAGCCUCGGGAAACCGGGAUUAAAACCACAUAAAAUCAUAGGUUCGCAUGAACCAAAGGUCAAAGAUUUAUCGGUGAAGGAUGGGCCUGCGUCUGAUUAGCUGGUUGGUAGGGUAAAAGCCUACCAAGGCGACGAUCAGUAGCCGACCUGAGAGGGUGAUCGGCCACAUUGGAACUGAGACACGGUCCAAACUCCUACGGGAGGCAGCAGUGGGGGAUAUUGCACAAUGGGGGAAACCCUGAUGCAGCAACGCCGCGUGAGGUAUGAAGGCCUUUGGGUUGUAAGCCUCUGUCCUAGGGGAAGAAAAAAAUGACGGUACCCGAGGAGGAAGCCCGGCU
RNAcentral lists this ribosomal RNA (471 nucleotides) under [Eubacterium] saphenum. RNAcentral describes it as "bacterial SSU rRNA". It matches the Rfam family "Bacterial small subunit ribosomal RNA", at positions 28 to 498 of the family's 1533-position model. The record is from RNAcentral. Lineage: Bacteria; Bacillati; Bacillota; Clostridia; Peptostreptococcales; Anaerovoracaceae.